This 436-nucleotide ribosomal RNA is filed under the name uncultured bacterium. Its description in RNAcentral is "bacterial SSU rRNA". It matches the Rfam family "Bacterial small subunit ribosomal RNA", at positions 29 to 507 of the family's 1533-position model. The record is from RNAcentral.
AACGUACGCUGGCGGCACGCCUAACACAUGCAAGUCGAACGAAGUAGCAAUACUUAGUGGCAGACGGGUGAGUAACAUGUAGGUAUCUGCCCUUUGGCCUGGAAUAACACGAGGAAACUUGUGCUAAUACCGGAUAUGUCUUUCUGCGGAGAAAGCUUUAUGCACCAUUGGAUGAGCCUGCACUUGAUUAGUUUGUUGGUGGGGUAAUGGCCUACCAAGACUGUGAUCAAUAGCUGAUUUGAGAGGAUGAUCAGCCACAUUGGGACUGAGACACGGCCCAAACUCCUACGGGAGGCAGCAGUGGGGAAUCUUGCACAAUGGAGGAAACUCUGAUGCAGCGAUGCCGCGUGAGUGAAGAAGGCCCUUGGGUUGUAAAGCUCUUUCGUCGGGGAAGAAAAUGACUGUACCCGAAUAAGAAGGUCCGGCUAACUUCGUG